AAAGCUAUAGUAGGCUACUCAGGCGAGGAAACAAGACUGACCAGCAGCAUCGUUCACCGGACUACUGACGACAACUUCCUUUUUCUCCAUCGAAAUAAGAAGGGACUGCAGAUCUGCGUUGUCAGCACCAUCUGUGAGAGUGAAACUCUGCUGGCAUCAAUCCUGAUUUACAGCUGGGCUGCUCCUGUCAGACCGGGUUGGAGGACAAUCAACUGCUGCUGCCGCUGCCGGUCGUGUUCUGUAUGGUGUGGACUUUCUCACGUUGCUGCAGACACACACACACAUACAGGAGCUUGCAUGCCCUGUACUCCCUCUCCUCCCUUCCUCCACCUCU
Non-coding RNA from Labrus bergylta (ballan wrasse), 334 nucleotides. The record is from RefSeq and is a predicted model, not a curated record. NCBI's taxonomy places the organism in Eukaryota, Metazoa, Chordata, Actinopteri, Labriformes, Labridae.